RNAcentral lists this long non-coding RNA (344 nucleotides) under Volvox carteri. RNAcentral's name for it is "long non-coding RNA (VCAR_LNC002483)". The record is from RNAcentral. Lineage: Eukaryota; Viridiplantae; Chlorophyta; Chlorophyceae; Chlamydomonadales; Volvocaceae.
CGCUUUUUUUAAUCCUGUUGUCGCGCCCAAGUCGACGAGCUGUUGGAGGCCGAAUGGUUUGUUCUGUUCCCGAACAAUCCGCUCGAUUUGCCCUUCUGCCGACUGAGCAGCCAUGUGGCCUUUGCGCGAUGGCCCUGUGUUGGCAGGUCCUGAGGACACAGCAGGCUAAAAUCCUCUCACCAAAUUCGCGCAAGGUAAAUGAUCUUCACAGCAGUAACAAUAUAUCUGAAAUGUUUAUGUAUGUACGUUCCGCUUUCGUUGCCUAGCUCUACUUGGGUACUUGCCGGCGAUGCAGCUUCCGGCAAUCGCACAGCCGAUUAUUCGUUUUACUAUGCCAAUGCAAG